AUUGAACGCUGGCGGCAUGCCUUACACAUGCAAGUCGAACGGCAGCACGGGUGCUUGCACCUGGUGGCGAGUGGCGAACGGGUGAGUAAUACAUCGGAACAUGUCCUGUAGUGGGGGAUAGCCCGGCGAAAGCCGGAUUAAUACCGCAUACGAUCUACGGAUGAAAGCGGGGGACCUUCGGGCCUCGCGCUAUAGGGUUGGCCGAUGGCUGAUUAGCUAGUUGGUGGGGUAAAGGCCUACCAAGGCGACGCUCAGUAGCUGGUCUGAGAGGACGACCAGCCAAACUGGAACUGAGACACGGGCCAGACUCCUACGGGAGGCAGCAGUGGGGAAUUUUGGACAAUGGGCGAAAGCCUGAUCCAGCAAUGCCGCGUGGGUGAAGAAGGCCUUCGGGUUGUAAAGCCCUUUUGUCCGGAAAGAAAACCCUUGGCCUAAUACCGUCCGGGGAUGACGGUACCGGAAGAAUAAGCACCGGCUAACUACGUG
RNAcentral lists this ribosomal RNA (486 nucleotides) under uncultured bacterium. RNAcentral's name for it is "partial 16S ribosomal RNA". It matches the Rfam family "Bacterial small subunit ribosomal RNA", at positions 30 to 507 of the family's 1533-position model. The record is from RNAcentral.